UUUUUAUGAGAGUUUGAUCCUGGCUCAGGACGAACGCUGGCGGCGUGCCUAAUACAUGCAAGUCGAACGCUUCUUUUUCCACCGGAGCUUGCUCCACCGGAAAAAGAGGAGUGGCGAACGGGUGAGUAACACGUGGGUAACCUGCCCAUCAGAAGGGGAUAACACUUGGAAACAGGUGCUAAUACCGUAUAACAAUCAAAACCGCAUGGUUUUGAUUUGAAAGGCGCUUUCGGGUGUCGCUGAUGGAUGGACCCGCGGUGCAUUAGCUAGUUGGUGAGGUAACGGCUCACCAAGGCCACGAUGCAUAGCCGACCUGAGAGGGUGAUCGGCCACAUUGGGACUGAGACACGGCCCAAACUCCUACGGGAGGCAGCAGUAGGGAAUCUUCGGCAAUGGACGAAAGUCUGACCGAGCAACGCCGCGUGAGUGAAGAAGGUUUUCGGAUCGUAAAACUCUGUUGUUAGAGAAGAACAAGGAUGAGAGUAACUGUUCAUCCCUUGACGGUAUCUAACCAGAAAGCCACGGCUAACUACGUGCCAGCAGCCGCGGUAAUACGUAGGUGGCAAGCGUUGUCCGGAUUUAUUGGGCGUAAAGCGAGCGCAGGCGGUUUCUUAAGUCUGAUGUGAAAGCCCCCGGCUCAACCGGGGAGGGUCAUUGGAAACUGGGAGACUUGAGUGCAGAAGAGGAGAGUGGAAUUCCAUGUGUAGCGGUGAAAUGCGUAGAUAUAUGGAGGAACACCAGUGGCGAAGGCGGCUCUCUGGUCUGUAACUGACGCUGAGGCUCGAAAGCGUGGGGAGCAAACAGGAUUAGAUACCCUGGUAGUCCACGCCGUAAACGAUGAGUGCUAAGUGUUGGAGGGUUUCCGCCCUUCAGUGCUGCAGCUAACGCAUUAAGCACUCCGCCUGGGGAGUACGACCGCAAGGUUGAAACUCAAAGGAAUUGACGGGGGCCCGCACAAGCGGUGGAGCAUGUGGUUUAAUUCGAAGCAACGCGAAGAACCUUACCAGGUCUUGACAUCCUUUGACCACUCUAGAGAUAGAGCUUCCCCUUCGGGGGCAAAGUGACAGGUGGUGCAUGGUUGUCGUCAGCUCGUGUCGUGAGAUGUUGGGUUAAGUCCCGCAACGAGCGCAACCCUUAUUGUUAGUUGCCAUCAUUCAGUUGGGCACUCUAGCAAGACUGCCGGUGACAAACCGGAGGAAGGUGGGGAUGACGUCAAAUCAUCAUGCCCCUUAU
RNAcentral lists this ribosomal RNA (1233 nucleotides) under Enterococcus sp. HMSC060D09. Its description in RNAcentral is "partial 16S ribosomal RNA". It matches the Rfam family "Bacterial small subunit ribosomal RNA", at positions 1 to 1205 of the family's 1533-position model. RNAcentral also lists the same sequence under 2 other names. Lineage: Bacteria; Bacillati; Bacillota; Bacilli; Lactobacillales; Enterococcaceae. The record is from RNAcentral.